UUGGCAGUAAGGAAUCUGUAUUUGAAAAUAUUCCUCAGGUGAUUGCACUGAUGAGAGAUACAGGAAUGCCUGUUAUGAUGGAAAAUGGAAGAUGAUAUCCCAAGUUUAAUAUGAUUACUGGUUUUAUCCAUGAGAUUUUGUUACUGAGAUUCAUGAUGGCCAAUGCAAGAAGGCCAACAGGAUGAAAUAUGCAGUCAUGCUUGUUAAAGGAAGAAAGGCACUGUACUGGGUAGACAAUUUUUCUGUAUAAUUGGUUCUUCUCAAACCCAUUGGAUCAGACUCUGUGGUAUACUACUGCUGGCCUAUUUGAUUCUGAGCUUAGUGUAUCCAUUUAGACUUUGUGAUCUGGGUAAUUUAUUUAGUUCUAGUUCCUACCUAAUGUCUUGCCAAUUUCCCAUCUCCAUCCUUCAUCCAUCCUUCAUUCUUCCCAGCAUAAACUUAAACCACAAAACUGUCAUGGCCUGCCUUGAACACUCUGAAGCAUCUGCUGCAAUUUUUUUUUUCUGAUUUUUCAGCCCAAAGAUUAAAAUCAAACUCGUUAGCUCCACUUUGCAAACUCUGCAUUCAGCAUGUCAUUGACCAUCAAGAUUCCAAAAAUGGCAAUUUUUUUUUUUUAAACACUUAGACCUCUUGUGUAAAGAAUUGCUGAGUCAUUGUCGAAGUCUUCCCAGGAAGCUCUUUCAUUAUUGUAGGGAUUGGGGGCACUGAGCACUGUAGCUUUGGCCAUCAGGCCAUCAGGCUUGGGACCACGAGUCCUCUGGAGGAGUUCUACCACUCCCCAGUGGAAAACACGGGCUGUAGACAUUUCCUAUGUGCAAAAGGCGCUUUUGAAAUUGACGGCAGAGGGUGAAUCUCUGGUUUCCUAUCACUAUUAGGUCCUGCUUAGUCCCUUCUAAGUGUCAUCUUUGGCUGGAUAAGCUGUGAUUUCAGCCUCUGGUCCAGGAUUGAGAACCAUUGCAUGACUAAAAGUAGGAGGUAUCUUUGCCAGUUAUCACAACAUUAGCCUUUGAGAUCAGGCAAAGCGAGCAGAGGAUGGAGGCAGUGGGGUUCAGGGGCGCAAGUCUGCCACUGGGAGCCCCUCUCUGGGCUCAAGUAUCUCAUAGUAAAAUGGGAAGUUUGGAUUGCAUCAGUGUUCUCCAAAGCAUGGUAUGUUGGUAAACCAGAUGAUUUUACAUAGUCAACAGAUGAAUAUAUUCCUUUUAAUAGUUGUGUAUUUAUUUUCAUGGUUAUUGUCUAUUUAUGAUAAGCUUUGUGAAUACAAAGGAAACAAUGAUCCUUUAAAAAUAAAUUUAAGUUUAAAAUGUGGGCUUAUUUAGGAAAAAAGUAGAGAACAACAUGAAUUAUGCACAAGAUAUGCAGAGGUGGAAAAAAAUAACUAAAUGACAGUACCAUGAGAAAGACUGAAGAUGGGAAAGCAUUGGGCUAAAUGGCUGCUGAUCGUUGGGCUAGCUCUCUUACUUUUUGGCAUGUGCACAUGCCCAGCUCUGUUUCCUUAUCUAUGGAAUGCAGGGGUUGGGGUAAGUGUCCUUCCCAGUAAUUAUAUUCUAUGAUUUGUGGUGUAACUCUAUCAUGUAGAUGCUCCCUCAUUCUUAACACAAGGUUCUAGUAUUUUUACACUCCUGAUAUUCAUGAAAAGGGAGGACAUUAGUUUCUUAGGGCUGCUAUAAUGAAUGAUCACAAACUUGGUGGCUUAAAACAACAAAAAAUUUAUUUUCUCACAAUUCUGGAGGCCAGAAGUCCAAAAUCAAGUUGUCAGCCUGGCUAUGCUUCCUCUGAAGUUUUAGGGAAGAAUCCUUCCUUGCUUCUUCCAACUUCUGGUAGCCCCAGGCAUUCUUUGGCUUGCGGCAGCAUAACUCCAAUCUCUGCCUCUACCUUCACUUGUUUCUUCUCUGUGUACGACUCUCUGUUUCCUCUUAAAAGGACACUGGUCACUGGAUUUAGGGGCAACCCUAGUCCGGUAUGAUCUAAUCCCAAUCCUUAACUAAUUAAGUAUGCAAAGGCGCUAUUUCUGAAGCAGUUCACUUUCUGCAGUGGACAUGAAUUUUUGGGGGACUCUGUUCAACCCACCACAGGGAGACUCAUUAUUCAGUUGGUUGUUUACUCAUGUAUUUCUAACUUUCCCCAUCGUCCCCCUUGUCUGCAGAGGAUUCAGCCUGCAACCAACUGAAGUGGUGGUGGAAGGAUGAGGAAGCAGGAAUCAUUAAGAAUUGUGUGGCAAAUUGGCUCCGCCAUGGACAAGCUGUUUAAAAAAGGGCAGUGUAUAUUAAGAGGUCGAUUGCUGCAUCCCAACUGCAGUUCAAAAGGAGUUCCAGAAGACAGAGAUUACUGGGGCUUGAAAUUGUCAGAAAAAAUCUCCCUGGAGGUGGAGGGUCCUGAGGUGCACCUGGAAGAAAGAACAAAUUAUGGAUAGCAGAAAGAAAACCGCCAACUUUGCAAUUUAAUGCAAACCGUCUCUGCUAUAUUUGCCCUGAAGGAUGCUGGAGGGAGAAACAGGAGCCAGAAUCCAUUUCAUCCCCUCUUCCCUGACGUCUACUAUUACAAUGCACUUACUGCUAAUACAGCAUCUCAACUUGCAAUCUCGUUACAGACUUGCAGGCAAGAAGGCAUGUCGAAUCCAAGUCUCAGCACCACGGCUGUGUUAACUUGGGCUUUCAUAACAGCUUCAAAUGGAAAACUCUGAAGUAAGUGAACUUAAAAGAAGAACUGAAAACUCAGUCCGAUGCCCUGAAGUCCCGUGGGUAGCCUUGCCACAAUACCGGCUCUUGGUGGAACUCAUUAGUGAAGGCUGUUCUCAUCGGCGCCGCUGAGGUCGGGGACGCCAGGGCUGCCCGGCUUUGAGCCGGCUCCCGAGCGCUCCGCGCUUUCUCAGGGCUGCGGAGGGCCUCGGGGACGCAGGAGCCACGCCUGGAGGCCGGAGCGCACCGAGCGCUCCCAGGGUCUGUGCAGCCCCGCAGGGCCCCGGCUCCGCGCCGAUCCCACUGUGCAGCCGGCGCCGCGGAGCAAAUUACAUCUGAGCCGCCUUUCAAGCCACCGGCCGCUUUCAAAACGGGACUUUGAAAGGGUGGGCUCCGCAGACUCUGAACUGGAGAACGGAACUCGGCUUUUCUGGGAGGGUGGGUUGACGCAGACGUGCCUGCCUCUCUGGCUCUCGCCUGGCGUUUAUAGCGAGGAUGAAAGGAAGAAGACGUUGGUGGGUGUUCUGUGCACCGUUUCCAUCGCUUUAUUUACGAAGGAAAUGUUCCGACGACUCCGGGAUUCUGACUGGCCAUUGGGAAUGAAUGGGACUAUUUAAAGUAAGGGGAUUGAAAGCUUUUCUUUGGAAUACACACAUGCGCGCGCUUUCUUUUUGUCCCCUCCUCUUAAAUCUCAGAUGGUUUCAUUGUACUUAGGGCUCCAAUUCCAUUGGAGGAGGGGUAGAUCAUACAGAUACAUGAAAACUGGAACUGAAUGGUUCAGCCCUGUUUGGGGCUUGGACAUACUAUUUCUAUUAGAGAAGGGAGAGAGUAGCUGUCACUCAAUCCCUCCUGCCUCGUUUUUGCCCCUUUUGGCACCUGGAUGAAUGGCCCCUCUUUUCACACAGCAGGAGGUGAAGUAGAGAGAGAGAGUGUGGAGAACAGAGGCUCUGGAACCAGGCAGUUGGGUCUGAGUUUUCUGCAAGUCACUUAUUGUGAAAGUGCCUGACAAUAGUAGCUCUUCAGCCUUUUCUGUCAAUAACACAUUUCCAGUAAAGUGGCCUUUUGACUUUUUGUCUUGGGCCUGCUCUUACUCCCAUUUAUGUCAUUUCCUUCUUUGCACAAAUGUUGAGUUUCCAACAAUUCAUGAGUCCCUGGUGCUUUCGUUAGCACAAACUCUUAUUUGUAGUACUCUUUCUUAGUGCAACCACCUUAAUAUUCUCAUACCUACUUUUAAAACUCACUUUCUUCCAAGUUCUAAUCCUCUUCACAUGUGGCUGGCACACAAUUCUUCUGUUUUCAGAGCAUGGCUCCACUUGGAGGACUUCCAAAGCCAUUUAGCACGUCGUACUGACUUGGAAAGGAAUAAGUACUGUACCCUAGGACACUCCUCAGAUGGUGGAUUACUUAUUCCAGGUAUCUGAGGAAGAUUGUCAAUAAAUUAGCAUCAGCCUGGAAGAAAGGGAAUAUGGAAUCAGUGUGCUAGUUGUUUUUUUUUAAUGUAAUUUUAUUGAGAUAUAUUCACACACCAUACAGUCCAUCCAAAGUAGACAAUCUGUGGUUCACAGUAUCAUCACAUAGCUGUACA
Choloepus didactylus (southern two-toed sloth) is the source of this 4260-nucleotide long non-coding RNA. RefSeq lists it as uncharacterized. Lineage: Eukaryota; Metazoa; Chordata; Mammalia; Pilosa; Megalonychidae. The transcript is spliced from 5 exons. The record is from RefSeq and is a predicted model, not a curated record.